CCGGCCUAGCUGUCCAAUGCCCACCCGGAGCUGGGAGGAGGAGCCUACGUAGAGUGCGUGUGAAGGGAGCCGGGGGAACGGGCCAAGGACCACGGUGUUUGACCUGUCGGUCGGUGCUUAAGAAGAAAGGAAAGGAGGAGGAGGUCCAGAGUAACGGUUGCCGAAAUGUACCGGUGUGGAGGCCUGGCGGCGGGUGCUUUGAAGCAGAAGCUGGCGCCCUUGGUGCGGACAGUGUGCUUCCGAGGCCCGAGGCAGAGGAACCGGCUCCCAGGCAACUUGUUCCAGCGAUGGCAUGUUCCUCUAGAACUCCAGAUGACAAGACAAAUGACUAGCUCUGGUGCAUCAGGGGGCAAAAUCGAUAAUUCUGUAUUAGUCCUUAUUGUGGGCUUAUCAACAAUAGGAGCUGGUGCAUAUGCCUACAAGACAAUAAAAGAUGACCAAAAAAGAUACAAUGAAAGAAUUUCAGGGUUAGGGCUGACACCAGAAGAGAAACAGAAAAAGGCCACAUCAUCUGCUCCAGAAGGAGAGCCAGUUCCUGAAGUCAGGGUACCAAGUCACAUUCCAUUCCUGCUCAUCGGUGGAGGCACUGCUGCUUUUGCUGCAGCCAGAUCCAUCCGGGCUCGGGAUCCUGGGGCCAGGGUACUAAUCGUAUCUGAAGAUCCUGAGCUGCCAUACAUGAGACCUCCUCUUUCAAAAGAACUGUGGUUUUCAGAUGAUCCAAAUGUCACAAAGACACUGCGAUUCAAACAAUGGAAUGGGAAAGAGAGGAGCAUAUAUUUCCAGCCACCUUCUUUCUAUGUCUCUGCUCAGGAGCUGCCUCACAUUGAGAAUGGUGGUGUGGCCGUCCUCACUGGGAAGAAGGUAGUACAGCUGGAUGUGAGAGGCAAUGUGGCGAAACUUAAUGAUGGCUCUCAAAUAACCUAUGAAAAGUGCUUGAUUGCAACAGGAGGCACUCCAAGAAGUCUGUCUGCCAUUGAUAGGGCUGGAGCAGAGGUGAAGAGUAGAACAACACUUUUCAGAAAGAUUGGAGACUUUAGAACCUUAGAGAAGAUUUCCCGGGAAGUCAAGUCGAUUACAAUUAUCGGUGGGGGCUUCCUUGGUAGCGAACUGGCCUGUGCUCUUGGCCGAAAGGCUCGAGCCUCGGGCACAGAAGUGAUUCAGCUCUUCCCUGAGAAAGGAAAUAUGGGAAAGAUCCUCCCCGAAUACCUCAGCAACUGGACCAUGGAAAAAGUCAGGCAAGAGGGGGUUAAGGUGCUGCCCAGUGCUAUUGUGCAAUCAGUUGGAGUCAGCGGUGGCAGGUUACUCAUCAAGCUGAAAGAUGGCCGGAAGGUAGAAACUGACCACAUAGUGGCAGCUGUGGGCCUGGAGCCCAAUGUUGAGUUGGCCAAGACUGGCGGACUGGAGAUAGACUCUGAUUUUGGUGGCUUCCGGGUAAAUGCAGAGCUCCAGGCCCGCUCUAACAUCUGGGUGGCAGGAGAUGCUGCAUGUUUCUACGAUAUAAAGUUGGGUAGGAGGCGGGUGGAGCACCAUGAUCACGCUGUUGUGAGCGGAAGAUUGGCUGGAGAAAAUAUGACUGGAGCUGCUAAGCCGUACUGGCAUCAGUCAAUGUUCUGGAGUGAUUUGGGUCCCGAUGUUGGCUAUGAAGCUAUUGGUCUUGUGGACAGUAGUUUGCCCACAGUCGGCGUUUUUGCAAAAGCAACCGCACAAGACAACCCCAAAUCUGCCACAGAGCAGUCAGGGACUGGUAUCCGAUCAGAGAGUGAGACAGAGUCUGAGGCCUCAGAAAUCACUCUUCCUCCCAGCAACCCUGUAGUCCCCCAGGUCCCCGCCCAAGGGGAGGACUACGGCAAAGGCGUCAUCUUCUACCUCAGGGACAAAGUGGUGGUGGGAAUCGUGCUGUGGAACAUCUUCAACCGAAUGCCAAUAGCAAGGAAGAUCAUUAAGGACGGUGAGGAACAUGAAGAUCUCAACGAAGUAGCGAAGCUUUUCAACAUUCAUGAAGACUGAAGACUGCUGUGGAACAGGCAGGCCCUUUGCUGUCCCUGACAGCAGCUUGGGAAGAUACACACCAAGAAUGGACAUCAGCCAGAGCAUCCGUCCUUUGUCAACUACUGCUGCUAGAUCACUUCCUAAAGCAUCACUUGGUCCAUAUCCCCCCCCACCUCCUGGUGACCAACGUACAUUGACUCCCCGUCACCAAUCACAGCAAGUCCGAAGCCUUCCAUAGCGCUCUUGACCUCAGCCCGCUCUUGACCUCAGCCCACUCUGCCCUGUGGGCCUCCUCUGCCACGACUUCACGUGCAUGUGCAUACGCACGUAUACAUCUGGUUUAUUGCCACCUUUAAACUUUUGUUUGUGCUCUUCACACCUGGAACACUGUCCCUCUUCCCUUCUACGUAUCCAAAUCCUGCUCAUCUUUCAAGGCCCAGAUGAAAUCCCACCGUGGUGAUGUAUAGUACCAGUUGGACUAGUGCCCGCGCAUGAUUUCAUCUCUGAACUUCGAUUGCACUUACUGCCUUUGAACUUGAUUGUUCUUUAAGUCGUUCUCUGCAUUAUUAGUGUUCACUCUCUAAAUCGAUUGUAAGCUAUCCCAGAGCAGAGACUUUUUUCUCAGGAUGGGGACAACAUGCGCCAUCCCCCAAAACCCUGGCAAAGUGCUGACCAAGUCCUUGAUUGCUUGGUUGGAUGAUGCUAGAUAACAGGGCUUGUUGUAAGAGUGAGCCUCUCUGCCUUGUAGCCUCAGUUCUCUGUAAUCCAGGUUAUCAGACCCCCAUUACUUCACCCACUGCCAUGACUUGCCACUUUACCCAGGAUGCAUUUAACCUGCUUAGGCCCCCAAGUAUCGCAAGGACCAAGUUCUGACUGUACAGACGACCAGUGCCAGC
Molecule: RNA transcript, 2885 nt
Organism: Mesoplodon densirostris (Blainville's beaked whale)
Lineage: Eukaryota; Metazoa; Chordata; Mammalia; Artiodactyla; Ziphiidae
Gene: AIFM1
Gene name: apoptosis inducing factor mitochondria associated 1
Exons: 17
Source: RefSeq, a predicted model, not a curated record